GAGUGAGAGAAGGAGUGGAAGAGACAGGGAGGAGAGAGAAAGAAGAAAAGGACACAUGUAGACAGGCCCAUGAGCUUUGAGUCUCUGUGGUGUACGAUUGGGAGGAGAACCACACUCCAGUGCCUUUCUUAACCUUCACAGCAAGUGCAUCAUUUUUAUUCCAUUGAUUACAUGAUUACCCUCUGACUGACAUGCAUGAAGCCUCUAAUGAAUAGAAAAUAAAUCCACCAGAGGGAAAGGAAGCAGUGUCGCCAUUCUCUCAUUCUAUCCAUUUAUUUUACAGAUAGUUUAUGUUAGAAUUAUUAGUGGUAGCCUAAUGUUUAUCCAUCACUGUGAUACAUAUUUUAAUUUCAAUCAUUGCAAGGACAUACGAUCGGCUUCACAGAAAGACUAAGUUUGUUGCUACAUUAUCCCAGCGGUUGACUCAACAACAGAUGUUCUACCCAGCCUAUGCAUUCGAUCAAGCCUGCUGGUCCGGCAACAUUUGUCACACCCUGAUCUGUUUCACCUGUCUUUGUGAUGGUCUUCACUCCUCUCCAGGCCCACCCCAUCUCCCUGUGUCAUCGAUGGCCUACACAGUGAGACGCCUCCUAAGUGUUCGACCACAGGGCAGGGGUUUCCAGUACCUGGUUGACUAGGAGGGUUAUGGCCCGGACGGGAAGUGCUGGGUAUACACUGGAAACAUCCUGGACCCAGCCCUCAUCGCCCACUUCCACCGCCAGCACCGUCGAACAGCUCCUGCUUUUCCCAGCCUCUCUUUUUUUCUACCCCUCCUGGUUCUGGGCGCUCCUGCCUGAUCACUCUACCUGUCCCUGACCCUGCCUGCCGUCCUGUACCUUUGCCCAACCUCUGGAUUAUUGACCUCUGCCUGCCCUGAGCCUACCUGCCGUCCGGUAUGGUUGGCCCACCUCUGGUUUACUGACCCCUGCCUGCCUUGACCUGUCUAUUGCCUGCCCCUGUUGGAU
Oncorhynchus gorbuscha (pink salmon) is the source of this 965-nucleotide long non-coding RNA. RefSeq lists it as uncharacterized. The record is from RefSeq and is a predicted model, not a curated record. NCBI's taxonomy places the organism in Eukaryota, Metazoa, Chordata, Actinopteri, Salmoniformes, Salmonidae. The transcript is spliced from 3 exons.